GAGUCUAGUGGAGAAACAUGGGCCCAGAAACUGGUCUUUAAUAAGCAAAUCGGUUCCGGGUCGAUCCGGGAAAUCCUGCCGGCUCCGAUGGUGUAACCAGCUUUCCCCUCAAGUGGAGCACCGUGCUUUCACUUCAGAGGAGGAUGAAACCAUAAUCAGGGCCCACGCUAAAUUCGGUAAUAAAUGGGCUACUAUUGCCCGUUUACUAUCGGGUCGGACUGAUAAUGCUAUUAAGAACCACUGGAACUCUACUCUUAAACGUAAGUGUUGUUCCAUGUCUGAAGAUUUAAGCUUUGAAACUCCUCAACAGCCUUUGAAAAGAUCGUCUAGUGUAGGUCCUAGUACCAACUUUUCUUCUGGUAUGAAUCCGGGUAGUCCUUCCGGAUCCGACUUGAGUGAUUCGAGUCUUUCGGGGUUUCCCCAGUCUCUUGUUUAUAGACCUGUACCGCGAACCGGCGGGAUUUUCCCUCUUCCUCCUCUAGUUCAACCGAUCGAAACUGCUCCAUUUAUACCCGACCCACCCACUUCUCUUUGCCUCUCACUACCCGGAUCCGGCACCCGUGAAACCUCGAUUCAGACUGCACAACCAACCCAGCUAACUCAGCCUCCUCAAUCACCACCACCUCCUCCUUUGGCUUUGCCGCCGGUUGAUAAACCCGUACCACCACCAACAGCUGUUUUCAUGUCUCAGCUUCCUCAAACUAAGCAAAGUUAUGAUUUUUGUGUACCAGCUUUACCCAAAUCAGGAGAGAAACAGUUUUUUACUCCGGAGUUUUUGGGAGUUCUACAAGAUAUGAUAAGAAAGGAAGUAAGG
RNAcentral lists this long non-coding RNA (814 nucleotides) under Nicotiana tabacum (common tobacco). RNAcentral's name for it is "long non-coding RNA (NTAB_LNC004190)". Lineage: Eukaryota; Viridiplantae; Streptophyta; Magnoliopsida; Solanales; Solanaceae. The record is from RNAcentral.